CCCUUAAAAGGGCUUAGAGUUUGAUCCUGGCUCAGAACGAACGCUCGUUGGCGUGCUUAACACAUGCAAGUCGAACGCGAAAGGGACUUCGGUCCUGAGUAAAGUGGCGCACGGGUGAGUAACGCGUGGAUAAUCUACCCGACGAUCCGGGAUAACAUCUCGAAAGGGGUGCUAAUACCGGGUAAGACCACGGGCUCUUCGGAGCUUGCGGUAAAAGGUGGGGACCUUCGGGCCUACCGUCAUCGGAUGAGUCCGCGUACCAUUAGCUAGUUGGUGGGGUAAGAGCCUACCAAGGCGACGAUGGUUAGCUGGUCUGAGAGGAUGAUCAGCCACACUGGAACUGAGACACGGUCCAGACUCCUACGGGAGGCAGCAGUGGGGAAUUUUGCGCAAUGGGGGAAACCCUGACGCAGCAACGCCGCGUGAGUGAUGAAGGCCUUCGGGUCGUAAAGCUCUGUCAGAGGGAAAGAAGUGCAGUGGUGCUAAUAUCAUCAUUGCUUGACGGUACCCUCAAAGGAAGCACCGGCUAACUCCGUGCCAGCAGCCGCGGUAAUACGGAGGGUGCGAGCGUUGUUCGGAAUUAUUGGGCGUAAAGCGCGUGUAGGCGGUUUGUUAAGUCUGAUGUGAAAGCCCCGGGCUCAACCCGGGAAGUGCAUUGGAUACUGGCAGACUUGAAUACGGGAGAGGGUAGUGGAAUUCCUAGUGUAGGAGUGAAAUCCGUAGAUAUUAGGAGGAACACCGGUGGCGAAGGCGGCUGCCUGGACCGAUAUUGACGCUGAGACGCGAAAGCGUGGGGAGCAAACAGGAUUAGAUACCCUGGUAGUCCACGCCGUAAACGAUGAGUACUAGGUGUUGCGGGUAUUGACCCCUGCAGUGCCGCAGCUAACGCAUUAAGUACUCCGCCUGGGAAGUA
Molecule: ribosomal RNA, 913 nt
Filed under: uncultured bacterium
Lineage: Bacteria
Description: bacterial SSU rRNA
Rfam family: Bacterial small subunit ribosomal RNA
Source: RNAcentral